UUUCAUGAUGAACCCCUGAUAGGGACAUCUUAUGCAAAGCAUAUGAUGAGAACCUGGGCUCGGUAUUUUAGUAGAUGCUUCGAGAUUCUGAAA
This 93-nucleotide small nucleolar RNA is filed under the name Podospora anserina S mat+. RNAcentral's name for it is "A. fumigatus snoRNA Afu_335". It matches the Rfam family "A. fumigatus snoRNA Afu_335". Lineage: Eukaryota; Fungi; Ascomycota; Sordariomycetes; Sordariales; Podosporaceae. The record is from Rfam by way of RNAcentral.